This 255-nucleotide ribosomal RNA is filed under the name uncultured bacterium. Its description in RNAcentral is "partial 16S ribosomal RNA". It matches the Rfam family "Bacterial small subunit ribosomal RNA", at positions 524 to 777 of the family's 1533-position model. The record is from RNAcentral.
UACAGAGGGGGCAAGCGUUGUUCGGAAUUACUGGGCGUAAAGGGCGCGUAGGCGGCCUGUUAAGUCGAACGUGAAAUCCCCGGGCUCAACCCGGGAACUGCGUCCGAUACUGGCAGGCUUGAAUCCGGGAGAGGGAUGCGGAAUUCCAGGUGUAGCGGUGAAAUGCGUAGAUAUCUGGAGGAACACCGGUGGCGAAGGCGGCAUCCUGGACCGGCAUUGACGCUGAGGCGCGGAAAGCCAGGGGAGCAAACGGGG